RNAcentral lists this unclassified non-coding RNA (200 nucleotides) under uncultured Heterochaetella. Its description in RNAcentral is "sequence contains ITS2". The record is from RNAcentral. Lineage: Eukaryota; Fungi; Basidiomycota; Agaricomycetes; Auriculariales.
GAACACAUCACCUCCCUUUGGGGAUGCGUGGACUUGGACGUUUGCCGACGCAAGUUGGCUCGUCUCGAAAUGCAUUAGCCUGCAGAGUGCUUCGCUGGGCCUUUGGCGUGAUAGUCACAUUUCGCCGUAGUGUCUGCGAUGUCUUCGACUCUGGGCUUACAAUAUUUGGAACCCAUCCGUGGGGACCAUCUUUUUACGCU